CUUUUAAACUGUUUACACUGGUAACCAGUGACAUGGAAAAGGCUGAGAGUUUGAUAAAGUCACGAAAAAGCAACGACGUUUCAUACAUUGUGUUUGAAAAUAGAUCCUCAACUGUGGCCAGUGUGUUUUGGCACGAUUUUGAUGGGAGAAAGGUAAAAUUCUGUCAACUUCAGAAUAAAGGAACGUAUAGCCAAUAUAAAGUCAAAACAUUUGUCGGACAUCCAUGGUCGGUUGAAGAUUCUGACACUGGAGUAAGCUUGCGAAUCGACAAUCGGCCUGUGUUCUAUCCGUAUUCAAAUCCAAAUAAGCAUGCAAAGGUUUACAUAGAUGACAUAACUAAAAACAGAGAUCCGGGAACCAAUAGCGGUUUGCAGUCAUUUGUAGACGCAAAAGCAUGUCCAAUAUGGGUUCGGAAGAAACUAGCGAAAUGAAGAGAUCACAAUGUAAUGGAUAUGUGAACUUUGACCUUUGAGCGUCCGGAAUUAUUUUAAACAAUUUCACAAUGACAGCCAUCUGAUCAUGCAGCAUAUUUGUUAUUCACGUGCAAGUUUCUCGCGUGACAGGAUAUAUGAAUCAUUUUUCUUGCAUUUUUUAUUGUUUAUAUUUUCUAAUAGUGCCAUAUAAUUAUAUAUACAAUAUUAGGCCAAUGUGAAAAACAAUCUACUUGACUUAAAUGUGUACGAAGCUAAGAAACUAUGGAAGGAAGAGGAUUAAAUAAAAAUGAUUUUUUCUACAUUGACCUCUUAUUAUUUUUAUACUGCUGCAGCUAAAAUUGUUACAUUUAUGAAAAUGAAUGUUAACAAGAAUAUCACUAAUUUUCCAUCCAUUAACCAACACCAGAUUGUGAAGGAACGUGACGGAACAUGAAAU
This is a long non-coding RNA of Mytilus californianus (California mussel), 870 nucleotides long. RefSeq lists it as uncharacterized. The record is from RefSeq and is a predicted model, not a curated record. The transcript is spliced from 3 exons. Lineage: Eukaryota; Metazoa; Mollusca; Bivalvia; Mytilida; Mytilidae.